Molecule: non-coding RNA, 49 nt
Organism: Roseobacter sp. MedPE-SWchi
Lineage: Bacteria; Pseudomonadati; Pseudomonadota; Alphaproteobacteria; Rhodobacterales; Roseobacteraceae
Source: Rfam
GUCCUCUCACAACGGCUUCCUGACGUGACGAGGUUAACCCAAUGGAGCA